GCAUUCGCGCUCACUCUUCGGCGUGUGUUUGGAACGAAGAUAACUACGAAUUAUCGAGCGCCUGCCCCCAAUUCGAAUCCCUUCUCGUCCCCAUUCCGAUCGCCGAAGCUCCCCGACUCGCAGCCCUAUCCCUAACCCGUCCCCUCCCUCCUCUCCCUUCGUGGCCGCUGUCUCCCCCGCCGCCGAUCCCUCGACCUGCCGUUCACUGCGCUCCGAAUGGGCAGCUCGCCACCCUUGGGCUAACCACGUCGUCCUCAACGACCUUAAGGGUUCUGCCGCCGCGACCCCACCUCUACGCUGCCGCUGGCCACUUUGAUCCCCUUUCCGGAGCCAUCCGAUCGGAUGCAGCCUCUGGAGGACGUGGCGCCGUCGUAGUUGGAAGCGGCCGCCCAAUGGCUCGAUCGAGGUGGGCGCAGCUGUGAUGGGAGAGCCGCCGCUUGGCUCGUCCUUUCCGACUCCCUUAAAUAUCCCCUUCCGAUGCUCUGAAACCCCUUUCCGAUGGAACGCCAUCCUCUUCGGAUUUCCCAGGUUUUGGUCAAGAAUUCGACGAGUUUUAGAUGGAAGUGAUUUAAACCUAUACGUCGUUGGAACGAUGCAGCGUGGAUAGUAACAAUGGUGCACCUCCCGAUGGUAGAGUGGCGUCGCCCUCACCACCACAGACGUCGUAUCUUAUGCCUCUGGCGAACUCGAAAAAGCUGGCAGCCACGGAGCUCUCGGCUCGAGACCAAACUACCAAGAACGCGACCAAUUGGGACCAUGGUUCCGGGUUGGGAUCAACACAACAACUACGGUAACAGGGUGCCCGGCCCUACCUUGGACCGCCUGCACCAUCUGUCAUUCCUCGGUCCUCCGCAGGUGCAGCCUUAUGAGAAUCCAAUGGCCUUCCUGGUUUGGUUCAUACGAUGAUGACAACGUUCUUAAUCUACCUUCAGAUAUGCCUUAUCCUAUCUUUUAUGUUGCCACGCAGCCACCCACCUUCUGGGGUCUGCCCGUUGUUGCUCAUCCGGCAGGUGCAGCCUUCUGAGAAUCCAAUGGCCUUCCUGGUUUGGUUCAUUCGAUGAUGACAAUGUUCUUAAUCUACCUUCAGAUAUGCCUUAUCCUAUCUUUUACGUUGCCACUCAGCCAGCCACCUUCUGGGGUCUGCCCUUUGUUGCUCAUCCGGCAGUGCCCCUUGCAAUGGUUAUUUCAGCUGUUGAACCGCAACGUGCUAAUCUAUUGAAGCAGAUAGAUUACUAUUUCAGGUGAAUAUUUGGUUCACAACUUGUAAUGAUCAUAUUUAAGGGAUCUGUGCCUAUAUUUUAUGUUCUGGUUUAAUAUUGGCAUAUUUUUCUGGUGAUGAAGAUAAAAUCGUUGCUAUACUCCUCCAUUCUGACCUCUGGCCUGUUACUAUCUUAAGAACCUUUAUGUCUGACCAGAUUACCAUUUGGUUGUCACCUGAAUCUGGCCCUUGGAAUUUUCUUUUACUGAUUCUGGUAAUCACUCGAAUCGAGUACUGAUUAAUACUCAUUUGAACUUGAGAUCAAGCAUAUUUCUGCUAGUGUUUUUCAAACAUAUUUAGUUGAUUCUUGUUCAUGAUUUUUUUCAUUAGAAAUCUUAUAAUGAGCCAUUAGUUAUUGAAUAUUUUUCAUGGAAUCUUUUAUGGAUUUAGGGUACUUUUUUUAUAUUUGUAACUUUAUAUAGGUAUCUAUAAUGUUUAUGAUUUGAAAGGCAUAUACCAUGGUCGUGUAACUAUGACAUAUAUUCGAUAAGGGUUCAUGAUCUCUAACUGUGACUUGUCUUUUGCGUCAGACUUUUCUUUUUCUUCCUCGUUGAUGGUUUCUACAGGUCCAAGAUUUAAUUUGCUGAUGUGAUAUACAAGUUAUAUAUGCUGCGCAGAGUUCUAAUUGACGUCAAUAUAACAGACAGCUCCGGUCGAUACAAAGUGACUUACCAACGGCUCUGAUUGGUACAAAGUUAUUGGCCAAUGCAUGUAUUGAAUUGAUUUACAUUGUUUCUGUUGAUCUAAUGCAUUUUGAUCUAAAAGUCAUCGAUACUGAAUCAUCUGAUAUUAUCAUGAACUUCCAAUCUUAGUUUGCUUGUGUAGUUAGGCAUCAGAUAUCUUUUAUGGAUGUUUAAUAUGGUCUAAACUUGUUUCUAUUGGCUUAUUGUUUCUUGAAUCUUCUUUCAAUUCACUGCCCAAAUAUGUUGUUGCAGUAUUGAAAAACUGCUCUUGCAAUAUUGUUCAGAUCAGACAAAAAACAAGCAGCAAAAAAUUCAUGUUGGAUAUGUUGCAGUUGUCAUCUGUAGUCGAAGUACAGGUUGAAUCAAAAAAAGAAAAAAAAAACUAUAAAAGAGCGGAUUUGAAGAGAAGAUGUUGAUGCGAGAUGUCUGGUGGUGAUGACCUUUUUCAGUCAAUUGAACAUUUAAAAGCUGAUCCUUUAAAAGGCUUCUUUCAGAUUAUGAACGACCAAAAGGCAUAUACAUAUGAUAGGCAGAAAUAUAGGGGAAAACCUCAGCGAAGCUUAUUCUGGGCUACUGCCUGACACAGCUCGUCCUCGUAGAACAGAACUCGAGUGGAAGCUACGGGCUUAAAGAUUGGCCUCGGCAGACCCGGUGGCAUGAUUCGCCCCGGACGGAGUGUCGACUCCUGGAACAGGACAGCUGCGAUCUGCCUCAUGUCCAUCAGGUGAAGGCGAGGACGAGGGCCGUGUCUUGGAGCUUUCGGUGUGUGCGGGGUUGGCCUCUUUCCAUCUGCCUUGCUGGAAAUCCACAAGGAUGUAGUAAGCCGAGAAGAAGAGGAGGAAUGAAAUGAGUAGGAACGACGAGCUGCAAUGUGUCCAUCGAGUCAUGUACCUCACAAAAGGCCAAUGUUCGGUCGGCACCGGAGUCUUGGUGUUGAGCAUCUCUUGCCUGGACCGGUCUGGGGUCGUGUAAUUGAAAUGCAAUUGCCUGGCCAGUAGUACCUAGCCCAAGAUUCAAUUUUGAGUAAUCGUUGAAUCAGAUGCAAGGCACCAGCCAUCUCAAUUGAAAAAAGAUAUGUGGUGCUGCAGCUAACGGAUGCAGUUGGAAGGGAGAGAAGAAGCAAGCACGAGAGAGCACUUACAGCUGUUCGAAUUCUCUGGGAAACAUGGAAAACAGCUCGUAGCUGAUCAUGAUGCAGGUGGCAGAGGAUUUUGACCUUCCAACGAGAAUAAUCAUGUGUCAGAGGAAGCUUCUGCUGCUUAGCAUCAUCCAUUGCGAGAUGAGAGCUGACCCUAAUGGGAGACACGAUCGGUGAAUCGCUCUGAAUGACCUCAUCCCGAUUAAGCAGAUCAAUCUUCGCCUUCUCUGACUGCAACACGAUCCUUUUCUUCCCAAUAUCCGUGCACGAUUUGCUUGAGCUCCUGCUAUAUCGGAUCUGAGCAAGCGCACCAGGUUUUAGGUACUUGUUCUUUGUGUUCUUCACUCGCUUCUUUUGUUUGAAAGCCAUAGAUUCAACACUCAUAGAAUACACAAAUAAAUCAGAAAUCCUUAUGCUUC
Musa acuminata AAA Group (dessert banana) is the source of this 3498-nucleotide long non-coding RNA. RefSeq lists it as uncharacterized. The transcript has 6 exons. NCBI's taxonomy places the organism in Eukaryota, Viridiplantae, Streptophyta, Magnoliopsida, Zingiberales, Musaceae. The record is from RefSeq and is a predicted model, not a curated record.